This 463-nucleotide ribosomal RNA is filed under the name uncultured bacterium. RNAcentral's name for it is "partial 16S ribosomal RNA". It matches the Rfam family "Bacterial small subunit ribosomal RNA", at positions 339 to 795 of the family's 1533-position model. The record is from RNAcentral.
CUACGGGGGGCUCCAGUGGGGAAUAUUGCACAAUGGGCGCAAGCCUGAUGCAGCCAUGCCGCGUGUAUGAAGAAGGCCUUCGGGUUGUAAAGUACUUUCAGCGGGGAGGAAGGGAGUAAAGUUAAUACCUUUGCUCAUUGACGUUACCCGCAGAAGAAGCACCGGCUAACUCCGUGCCAGCAGCCGCGGUAAUACGGAGGGUGCAAGCGUUAAUCGGAAUUACUGGGCGUAAAGCGACGCAGGCGGUUUGUUAAGUCAGAUGUGAAAUCCCCGGGCUCAACCUGGGAACUGCAUCUGAUACUGGCAAGCUUGAGUCUCGUAGAGGGGGGUAGAAUUCCAGGUGUAGCGGUGAAAUGCGUAGAGAUCUGGAGGAAUACCGGUGGCGAAGGCGGCCCCCUGGACGAAGACUGACGCUCAGGUGCGAAAGCGUGGGGAGCAAACAGGAUUAGAUACCCCAGUAGUC